This is a long non-coding RNA of Ochotona curzoniae (black-lipped pika), 779 nucleotides long. RefSeq lists it as uncharacterized. The record is from RefSeq and is a predicted model, not a curated record. NCBI's taxonomy places the organism in Eukaryota, Metazoa, Chordata, Mammalia, Lagomorpha, Ochotonidae. The transcript has 2 exons.
AUCGUAUUUGUUGUGAGCCGGCCCCGGUGCUGCCAGAGCUGCGGGCACCGGCGCAUGCUCCCUUCCGAGUGAGUAUGCUGAGAGAGGAAGUCUCUGUGGUGAGCCGCGCCCGGAUUAGCCCGGGUGGAGGGCACUGGUGCAUGUAACACUCUGCUCAGUAUGCCAAAAAUGAAGUCUCCGUGCUGAGCCGCGCUGGAAUAUAUCCAGGCUCCUUUCUCCAGCCAAUGCUUCCUUGGGGUGAAUAUAAUGAUCCGGGAAGCUCCAUGGUGAGCCGUUCCCAGGUCUGCCAGGGCGCCGGGCUUUGGGCUCGCUUUCCUUGAGUAUACCGAUACCGAUCUGAAAAAUCGUAUUUGUUGUGACCGGCCCCGGUGUUGUCCGGGCUGCGAGCACCGGCGCCUGCUCCGUUCAGAGUGAGAAUGCCCAGAGAGGAAGUCUCGGAGGUGAGCCCUGCGCGAAUCUGCACAGACUCCUUUCUCCAGCCAAUGCUCACUUCUGAGUGAGUAUAACGAUCCGAGUAUACCGAUACCGAUCUGAAAAAUCGUAUUUGUUGUGAGCCGUGCCCGGGUUUACACGGGUUGCAGGCACCUAGGCAUGACCCUUUCUAGUGAGUAUGCAGAGAUAGGAAGUCUCUGUGGUGAGCUGUGCCCGGGUCAGCCCGGGUAGCGGGCACUGGUGGAUGCACCCUUCUGCUGAGAUGCGAAAAAUGAAGUCUCCGUGCUGAGCCUCGCGCGAAUAUAUCCAGGCUCCUUUCUCCAGCCAAUGCUUCCUUGAGGUGAGUA